Molecule: long non-coding RNA, 582 nt
Filed under: Medicago truncatula (barrel medic)
Lineage: Eukaryota; Viridiplantae; Streptophyta; Magnoliopsida; Fabales; Fabaceae
Description: lncRNA gene39058
Source: RNAcentral
UAGUCUUCAGCUUAAAUAGUCAACAACUACUCCUAAAAUCGUGGCACUAUUUAAGUAAAUCGUGACACGUUUCUUCUUGUGUAACAAACCACACAAAUUAGGGUUUCCAUAAUUGUGUCACGUUUUUGCCAUCGUGACACGUUUUCACCAAUGUCGAAUGCAUUUUUCUUGAAAGCUUCAAAUCGUGACACGUUUUUCAGUUAAUAGUGACACGAUGCCCUUUUUUUAGUUUCUUCAGUUUUUCUUGGUUUUCUUGCUGCUUAAGCUUGCUUGUGAACUCAAAAAUUACAUAAAAAGACUCUAAAAAUAACGAAUGACUAACUGUCAUCAAUGAGAAAUGAUAAUGUUUAUAUGUUAGUGAUGAUGAGGAUGACGAUAACUAUAUCAGUAUGAUGAUAAGAGUAAUGAUGUUUAUCUAUGAUGAUGAUGAGGGUGGUAUAUAUAUAUUGACGAUGAGAAUGAUGACGUAUAAUUAUGAUGAUGACUUGAAUGAUGGUGUCUAAUAUACAUUGAUGAUGAGAAUGACGAUGUUUACUUAUGAUGACGAUGUGAAUGAUGAUGAUAUGUUUGUCUUGAUGUUGU